AAUGAUAGAUGGCAUGUGUCCAGGUGGGGUGUAGGGGACUCCCUGUGGAGACAUAGGGGACCACCCAGUGCUGCAAACUGGAGGGACAGUUAAUGAGUGUAAUUCGAAAGGACACGUGUGGCAUCACUAGCAAGAGAGUUUUGUGCCUCGAGCCACGCAGCAUGGCACUCUGGGAGGUUGCCCGUCGUCCAGUGAGGGAGGAUACAGAGGCCUGAUGAGGUGAAGAAUUCCCACAGAGUGCCAGCAUAGAGAGAUUCUGAUUAAAACCUCAUCUGUUUCAUCAUUAA
This is a long non-coding RNA of Micropterus dolomieu (smallmouth bass), 287 nucleotides long. RefSeq lists it as uncharacterized. The record is from RefSeq and is a predicted model, not a curated record. NCBI's taxonomy places the organism in Eukaryota, Metazoa, Chordata, Actinopteri, Centrarchiformes, Centrarchidae. The transcript has 3 exons.